GAAUGCCGGAAUGAGUAGCGAGAUGGAGGUGGGAAUCCUCCAGGCCGAAUAUCUAAGGUUUCCAGGGUAAAGCUGAUCUGCCCUGGGUAAGUCGGGGCCUAAGGCAAGGCUGAGAAGCGUAGCUGAUGGACAACAGGUUUAGAUUCCUGUACCACAUGGUAUCAGAACUGUGGGGACGCAGAGGGAUAAGAUGACCGGGGGACAGAUUCCCGGGCAAGCGCAGGAGGUGUCAGACAGGCAAAUCCGUCUGACAAGCCAAAGGCGUGACGCGGACCGAACUAAAGUAGGGAAGCAUCUGAUUCCAGCUGCCGAGAAAAGCCGCUAUUGUGUACCAUGUGCCCGUACCGUAAACCGACACAGGUGGAUGAGGAGAGAAUCCUAAGGCCGGCGGGAGAAGCAUUGUUAAGGAACUCGGCAAAAUGACCCCGUAACUUCGGGAUAAGGGGUGCCAGAGAGAUCUGGCCGCAGAGAAUAGGCUCAAGCAACUGUUUAGCAAAAACACAGGUCUAUGCGAAACCGUAAGGUGAUGUAUAUGGGCUGACGCCUGCCCGGUGCUGGAAGGUUAAGAGGAGAGGUUAGAGCAAUCGAAGCUUUGAAUUGAAGCCCCAGUAAACGGCGGCCGUAACAAUAACGGUCCUAAGGUGGCGAAAUUCCUUGUCGGGUAAGUUCCGACCCGCACGAAAGGCGUAAUGAUUUGAGCGCUGUCUCGACAAUGCACCCGGUGAAAUUGAAAUACCAGUGAAGAUGCUGGUUACCUGCGCCAGGACGGAAAGACCCCAUGGAGCUUUACUCCAGCUUGAUACUGGGAUUCGGUAAUGCAUGCACAGGAUAGGUGGGAGGCUACGAGUACGGAACUCCGGUUUCGUAUGAGCCGCUGUUGGGAUACCACCCUUGCGUUACUGGGUUUCUAACCAUGGUCCAUGAUCUGGAUCGGGGACAAUGUCAGGUGGGGAGUUUGACUGGGGCGGUCGCCUCCGAAAGGGUAUCGGAGGCGCUCAAAGGUUCCCUCAGAAUGGUUGGAAACCAUUCGAAGAGUGCAAAGGCAGAAGGGAGCUUGACUGCGAGACCGACGGGUCGAGCAGGUAGGAAACUAGGACUUAGUGAUCCGGUGGUAUGAAAGUGGGAUUGCCAUCGCUCAACGGAUAAAAGCUACCCUGGGAUAACAGGCUUAUCACUCCCAAGAGUUCACAUCGACGGAGUGGUUUGGCACCUCGAUGUCGGCUCAUCGCAUCCUGGGGCUGAAGUAGGUCCCAAGGGUUGGGCUGUUCGCCCAUUAAAGCGGUACACGAGCUGGGUUCAGAACGUCGUGAGACAGUUCGGUCCCUAUCCGGCGCAGGCGGAGGAUAUUUGAGAGGAGCUGUCCUUAGUACGAGAGGACCGGGAUGGACGGACCGCUGGUGUACCGGUUGAGCUGCUAAGCUCAUGGCCGGGUAGCCAAGUCUGGCAGGGAUAAACGCUGAAGGCAUCUAAGCGUGAAGCCCCCCUCAAGAUGAGGUAUCCCAUUCGAAAGAAGUAAGACCCCUUGAAGACGACGAGGUAGAUAGGGCAGAGGUGGAAGUGCAGUAAUGUACGGAGCUGACUGUUACUAAUCGGUCGAGGGCUUAUC
RNAcentral lists this ribosomal RNA (1606 nucleotides) under metagenome. RNAcentral describes it as "bacterial LSU rRNA". It matches the Rfam family "Bacterial large subunit ribosomal RNA", at positions 1292 to 2925 of the family's 2925-position model. The record is from RNAcentral.